RNAcentral lists this long non-coding RNA (808 nucleotides) under Homo sapiens (human). The record is from RNAcentral. Lineage: Eukaryota; Metazoa; Chordata; Mammalia; Primates; Hominidae.
AGUUCCCGCCUCGCGGUGUGUGCCUGCCCCGCUGCGAUGGAGGUCCUAAGAGCAAGGGGGGGAAGAGGGGCUGGCUCUGGUAGAUUGCAAAUGACCUGCUUUUUUUCUGAUCCCGAGCUGCGUUCGGACCCCUGUCGGAUAGUAAAUCCCAGGUAAGGUACCUGCGGUCGGCAGGUCUGAGCUUUCUUCUUGGACACCUAAAACCCCCAGUCCUCCAGGUACCUGCCGUGGGCAGAUCUGAGCUUUCUUCUUGGACACCCCAUACCCACAGUCCUCCAGGCCACCCUUAAGUACAAUGUUCUCCUACCUAAGAAGGCAUCUGGAUUUUCUCUUUCCUUGGAAAUAGUAAAGAACUACUCUUUGACUGUUUUUGACCUCACAGUGAACCUCAAAUACACUGGAAUUCGCAAUAAAUCCAGUAUGGUGGUUAUAGAUGUAAAAAUGCUAUCAGGAUUUACUCCAACCAUGUCAUCCAUUGAAGAGCUUGAAAACAAGGGCCAAGUGAUGAAGACUGAAGUCAAGAAUGACCAUGUUCUUUUCUACUUGGAAAAUGUUUUUGGUCGAGCAGACAGUUUCACUUUUUCUGCUGAGCAGAGCAACCUUGUGUUCAACAUUCAGCCAGCCCCAGGCAUGGUCUACGAUUAGUACGAAAAAGGUGGAGAAGCAUUUCUUUUAACAAACUGAUUCUUCUGUAUCAAACCUGGAAAAAAAUCAUGAACCAUCUGACAUCGUGAACAGUCUGCAGUGGGCUAUGGUUUCUUGACAAGUCUUAUUUCCUUAUCAUCCCAUUAAAUGUUGUCAUUUUGCA